Harpia harpyja (harpy eagle) is the source of this 6084-nucleotide long non-coding RNA. RefSeq lists it as uncharacterized. The record is from RefSeq and is a predicted model, not a curated record. NCBI's taxonomy places the organism in Eukaryota, Metazoa, Chordata, Aves, Accipitriformes, Accipitridae. The transcript has 2 exons.
UACAUUUUUAUGGAAGAUUGCUCAGUGACAGGGCAGGUAGUCCUUCAAGUAUGAGAAAGGAAAGGUAAGAUCCUUACACAUUUCACUCAACUGGAUUUUGGGCUAAUGAUUUUUAGACCUGCUGCACUAACUAGCUACACAUGGUAUAUACUCACCUUUGAACUGGACUGUGGGAUGACUUCUUAAAUUAGCCUCACAAAGACUUUUACCACUGGCAUCAUGUACUGGGAACACUGGUUGUCCUGCUUUCCAUAAAAGUUCUAAUUAAUUUGAUUUUAACAACACUGUUUACUAACUCCUAGCCAUUUUUAACUUAUAGAAGCAGAUGUUUAACUUAAGCUGUCAUGAAUUUAAUGAAUUAAAAAACAACCAUUUAAGCUGUAAGACCAAAAUAAAUCAACACUAAUAGCAGAAGCAUUAGAGAGGAAAUCUAUAAUGAUUCAAAGGUUAUUCUCAAAAGUGUAAAAAGGAUAGCAACAGCAAGUUUUAUAAGUAACAUUUUGCUACAUUACCACACAUUUAGUUAUGGAAGGUUGAAACUGUGUCUUGCUGGGAAUCCUCAUUAAUCUUAGGCUUUGUUCACUCAUUUUCAGUUUUCUGCCCUAAAAGGGUACGCAUUCUGCCGGACACAAAAUUCUCUUCCAUUGUUAGUGAGGCUCGGUGUAUUGUCUGCUCAAAAGCUGGCAGAUAGAAAGAAUAAAAUGAAAAAAACGGAGUUAUGGUGCAGUUUUCUGAAAAAGUGAGGUAGAAAAGCUAUGUACUCUGAUUCAGAAUUUCUGAUGGCAGGGAAAAAAAAUAAUAGACCCAGUAUCUACUGAUCAUGAACUGAGGAUAAAAGUUGCUUCCAAAAGAAUGAAAGUGAAGACUAACGAAGAUGCUUAUUAUAUAAAAUAAACACAAUGUAUGAGGUUUUACUGAGGAGAAAAUAAAAUUAAUUAUUGCCUAGGAUGGACAAUACUUUCUAAUGCUGUAAAUCCAAACAUCAUUAUCCUGGUCUUUAACAUGAUAUUACAAGGCUAGCAGUGUACAUGGGAGAAGAUUCAUAGCAUUUUGGCUUCCACAGAAUUAGUUUAACACAUGGAAAUUCUCAUAUUUAAACCAUAACCAAAUUAUGCAGGCAAGUGGCCCAAAUUAACAUCAUAUGUGCUCCAAAUUCUGAAUUUUUAGUUCAAUAAAUAACACUCUUGCAGAUUACAAAAUUACAACUACCUAAAAUUACUACUAAUUAUUACUAACCAAUCAUACUCUUAGAGAUAAUCUGGAAUUAUGAAAAGGGAGAUCUGAAUUGCUUGAGACUUUUAUGGAAUAGUUGUGUGUGGAAGGAAAAUGCUUGAAGAGUGCUAAAAAUCUCACUGCAGAAAACCUGUGAUGCAUGCGGUCAUAGCCCUGAAAACCAUUUUUUACUUCAUGCUUUGUGUUGAGAUGCUCCUUUGUGGAGUAAAAUCCUUUUUUUGCACUUGACAUAGGUUCUAGAUUGUGAAGAUAAGUGAUGCUGAUGAUUUUGUCCACUUGAGUCAAUAAAUAACAAAGGAAAGUAUGCACUGUGCUGCUGAAGACAGAAAUUUGAAUUCUGUAGAUACCCGCUUUUCCAUAAACUAUCUGAUUAUAUCACUGGCAAGCAUCUUAGAAAUAACUAAUCCUAUUUCAAGGUUUGUUUUUGUUUGUGUUGUUUUGUUUUUCUUUACUGGGAUUAGUCAUUAAUCUUGAAUGGCUACUUGGCAGGGUAAAGGUGCAGAAUAACCAGUGGAGAAAACGGUGCAGUGGAGUGAAGAAGUCGCUGGGCCAACGUACUGAAAUCCUGAACUGCCCUUUGGGAUGGCAGUGAGGCAGCAGGCUCUGGCAAGUGAUCUGUUCCUGUGGCUUAGCCCCAGAACCGUCCCUGGAGCAGCCAGUUUUCAGAGUUAACAGCCUUCCAAUUUUUGGAUAUAAAGAAGAUAGAUGACUGAGUUCAAAUAAUUCCUCCUCUGAAUUGUUUCAGCCAUAGAACAAGUUUUGAGAUGAAGUUACUCUUGGGAGGCAAGAAUUGAAAAUAGCUGUGCUGGGUGUACAUGGCAAGAUGUUGGCAGUGGGGAGGCUGUAGUGGUGGCCUCUGUGAGAAGAGGCCAGCAGCUGCCUCUGUGUUGGACACAGCCAGCCCCAAUGGACCCACUGCUGGACAGGACUGAGCCCAUCAGCCAAGCCGGUGGUGCCUCUGGAAAGUGUAUUAGAGAAAGGGUACAAAAUGCUGCACAGAAGCUGCGAGAGAGGAGUGAGAAGAACAUGUAAGAGAAACAGCUCUGCAGACAGCAAGGUCAGUGACUAAGGAGGGGGAGGAGGUGCUCCAGGCGCUAGAGCAGAGAUUCCCGUGCAGCCUGUGGUGAAGACCAUGGUGAGGCAGGCUGUCCGCCUGCAGCCCAUGGAGGUCCACGGUGGAGCAGAGGUCCACCUGCAGCCUGUGGAGGACCCCACGCCGGAGCAGGUGGGCAUGUCUUGAGGAAGCUGCAGCCUGUGGAGAGCCUGUGCUAGUGCAGGCUCCUGGCAGGACCUGUGGCCUGUGGAGAGGAGCCCACGCCAGAGCAGGUUUUCUGGCAAGAACUGCAGCCUAUGGGGUACUCGCACUGGAGCAGUCUCUCCUUGAAGAACUGCAGCCCAUGGGGAGGACUCACGUUGGAGCAGGGGAAAAGUGUGAGGAGGAAGGAGCAGCAGAGAUGGAGUGUUAUGAACUGAUCACAACCCCCUUUCCCCAGCUCCUUCAACUGCUCAGGGUGGGGUGGAGGAGGUAGAAGAUUAAGGAGGGAAGUUGAGCCUGGGAAGAAGAGAGGGGUGGGAGGAAGGUAUUUUUGGUUUUGUCUUUUGUUUGUCACCAUCCUACUCCAUUUUUAAUUGGCAAUAAAUUGAUUUUCCCGAGGUUAAGUCUGUCUUGCCUGUGUUGGUAAUCGGUAAGCAACCUUCCUGACUUUCUCAAUUGAUGAACUUUCUCAUCAUACGUUCUCCCCCAGUUCUGUUGAAGAGGGGGACUGAGAGACCAGCUGGGUGGGCAUUUGGCAGCCAGGCAAGGUUAACCCACCACAAUAGCAUAAGGAUAUAUUCUAUUCAACAGCCUUGUGUAUAUUUUUUUCUUCCCUUGGCUAGCAUAAUUUUGUAUGCAAUUGAAAAUUAUGUGAUUAUAUGAAAAUCAAAGUUCACAAGGCAGAGAGACUAGCAAGUGACACCUGAGUCUUUGACAUCUUUCAUUCUCCCAAGUUAAAUGUCAUUUCAGAGCUCUAAGAACAGUCUCUGUUUUCUGAACCCAUGUUCAACCAAAGGAACAGGUCGUCUUUUCCUAGGCUUUUUGUUUUUGUAGUGGAGCUUUCAAUCUAUGCCAAUUUUCUGGUGAUGUUUCUUUCUCAGUGCAAAAACCACACCAUGUUUUAACUGUCUUACCUCCUAAUUAUUUCUCUGUUUCUAAUGGUUUUAAAAUUAGAAAGCAUGAGAAUAAAGGCAUGGGGACGUUAUGUAUUCUGGGUAUGUCUGUGCAAGGGGAAGGUCUUUGGGAUUUUAUAGUGGUUAGACAAAGCAUGUACAAUAUAAAUGACAGUAAAUCUCAGCCUUAAAAUAACAUUCCCUUUACGCAAACAGCACAACCAGAGAUUUCCUAUGAAAAUGACCAUGCUAGACAGAAGACUCUCUCUGGAGACUAUCUGCAAACCCCUGAGACAAGUGACUGGAGUGGGGUCAAUGUUUUCUGCCAAAACUCCAAUUAGGAGCGCCUACUAGCAACAUAGGUGCAUUGGCAGCUUGCUUAUUUGCAGAAAAGCAUUCUAGCUUUCAGCCCUGUAACACUUACAUCGGCUUGGCUUUUUUUUUUUUUUCCCCAGGACCUGUUCCUUUAUUUGCUAAUGAAGGAAGGUACACGGUGGGAAACUGUAAUGGGGGCAAUACAAAACAAGGCUGAGUACUCAAAGCAUGCUCUGUGUUGGUCUUACACGUGAAUCUGUAAUGAACAUAAUAAUCUAAUGAAUCAAUAGGUCAUUUCAAGUAUCUCUUUUAAAGGUGAAGCUGGAAAAAAUAUUAGGCUGAAAUGAUGCCAUUAUACAUGACAGGCUUUUUAGUAGUGCCAUCUGCCCUUCUAUAAAUAAGAAGAACAUAAUCCUUUUAUUCUUUAAAAUACAACUCUUUCAACUUACCAGAACUAAUAUUGUGAAUGAACACUUUGAAAUGCUUGGAUUAAUUAAAUUGUUCAAUCUAGCUAGAAUAGAGGCUGCUAACAAGAUUAGCAGGAGUAGAUGCAGACUGUCUUCUCCAUGACUGAAGCCUCUUAUUCAAGUUUUGCCAGAAGAGGAUAUGUUUAUAUAGCGGAGGCCAUUUACUUUUAUAUAUGCCUACCAAAUUACUUACACAAAGCAACUGAAACUACUACCAAAACUCUGGAGUCCCUCUUUGUGAGAGAUUCAUUGUGACAAUCAGGUCUCCCUCUUCCAUCAGAAGCUCUGGGAACAAAUAGGAUUAGAUGGUGGUUGCUAGUGACUACAGAGGACUAAGCUGGAUUCUGCAGGAAGUCUCACACAGCCUUACACUUCUCAUAAGGCAUAGCGUAGGUAUGCAAGAUCUAAUGUUGGAUGAUUCUGACCCUGGAAGGGAUGGACCUACUCUGAGGUCUCAUCACAAAAAAUGUCUACUUAACUACAUUAAACUGCUGAAAGGCUAAAGAGUGAAGUGGAAAGAGUGUCUGAACUCAAAUGAACUUGAGCAGAAUUUUAUUACAGCAUUUUUCCACUGCUGCAGGGACAAAUGUGCCAUGUUGCCAUGCUGCUGCUGCUGUAUUAGAUGACUCUGAAUUGCUUCCCUGUUUGGAAGUCAGAAAUGCUACAGCACUGAUAUUUAGACUAUCUAAUGCUAUUUGGCAAUUUGAUACACACUAGCCAGGAUAAAGUUAGACGCAAAGGGUCGUUGAAUCACGCUUUUCAUGCUGCAAGGAGAAAUUCAUAGACCUUUGCUAUUUUCCCAAUGUUCAGCACUGCUGUAAUUUCAAACCCAGGGAACAAUGUGAAGAAUGUAGCCCUAGUUGUUGCACUUUUUGUAAUAAAUUUCUUGCUUAGUUAGACUCUAUUAAUAGGUUUGAGUAUUUCCUAAAUAAAAGAAAAAAAUACUCCUUGCAGUCUCUCAAAUACAGCUAAUUUAUAAGUCUUUGUAAUGGUAUUCUUUCCUCCUUGCUGUAUGUGUUAUUGUUUAUUUUGGUCAAGAACGCAUAUUAAGCGGGGACCCAGGGGUAUGUUCCAAAUGUUGGUAUAACAAUUGUAAAGUAUAAGAAUUAUUACCUGUUAUUUGUAACAAUCUGUUGCUUAAAAAAGGGGGAUAUUCCUUACCUAAACAGUAUCUUCUGUACUAAAACAUUUUGGUUAACUGGUAGCUGUUACAGCUCUCAUUCAGUCCUGACUUGAUGUUGGAUGUCUUUGUGGUAAGAAUGAUAAGCUGCGUCCCAGUAUCUCUCUUAUCCAGGGAAAGCAAGAUUCCCUCACAGCUAGCCUUUGAUGUCUGUUGUUAGGCAUUAGACAGUUUGAGUAACAGUAAUAAAAUUGUAAUUUAAAGAACCUAUGCACUACUUAAUUGGUUAAUUUUCCUACCUGAAAAAAAGAUACUGUUAUUUUUUUGUGUGUAGGUUACAUAGGGGAAGUAGAUCCAAGAACAGUCAUGAAGGAACAUUCACAAAGUACUUGUAUUACUGCUGACUGUGUAAUAAUGACCCAUGUGUUUGGGUCUCCUGAUGCCAGCUGAGGAAACAGUGUACCAAAUGUGGCAGCUCUAAGAAGUGCUAUGAAUAUCCAGUAACUAUUUUAGUUGGCAGAUUGUGUAUGGUAAAAUUGAAAAUUUUUUGGCUCAGUAUUUCUUUGUGCACUGGUUUCUUUUCACAGCUCAUUGGUUAAUGUAUUGGGUUGAGACUAAGAAGAUUUCUUUCACUUUUUUUUCACUGUGUACACUGUGGAGAGUAAUUUUACCUGUUUUCUCAUUAAUAACUCAGAUUAUAAAAACCCUUUCCUGUAAAGCAUAUUGAUAUGUACUGUGAAAGUGAAUUAAAAAAAAAAAAAUCUAGUUGUGUCAAUGACUGCUAUAUAUUUAACUCUUUAA